This is a long non-coding RNA of Magnolia sinica, 533 nucleotides long. RefSeq lists it as uncharacterized. NCBI's taxonomy places the organism in Eukaryota, Viridiplantae, Streptophyta, Magnoliopsida, Magnoliales, Magnoliaceae. The transcript is spliced from 3 exons. The record is from RefSeq and is a predicted model, not a curated record.
UUCAGAUUUUAAUGAUUGUAUUUAUAUGCAUGUGGUGUCCUCAGGUCUUACAUGAACUAAUUUAUAUGCAUGUGGUGUCUGCAGAUCUUACAUGAACUAAUACGACGCCCCAACUAGAUUCUGUGGAGCAAGAAAGAAGUGGCAUCAAAUCUAGAUGUCGUAACAGAUGUGUAUGAUUUCCUCCAUUUGGUAAGCACUAUUUCUAGUGAAAAAGAAGUAAGUAAUGAAUGUCUAGGUGCAGAUGUUGAUGAAAAAGAAGUAAGCAAUGAAGCAGCCCGUUCAAUCUGAUCAAUCUACUCCCUGGGGAGGUUGGAAAUCAAAUGAUGUGUACAACAAUUCAGGAUGUUGUUUGAAUUACUUGUCCUAACAGGUGCACAAGUUGGGAUGGAUUGGACUUCUAUCUUGAGAAAACACCAUGAUUUCAGGUAGUUAUUAUUGUAAUGGAAAGUUAAAAAAUUAAAAGAGAGAGAGAGAGAUAAUGAAUUCAUGGAAAGAAAUGUUCUUUAUUAUUAGGGCUGCUUUGGCUGGGUUUA